This 497-nucleotide ribosomal RNA is filed under the name uncultured bacterium. RNAcentral's name for it is "partial 16S ribosomal RNA". It matches the Rfam family "Bacterial small subunit ribosomal RNA", at positions 28 to 507 of the family's 1533-position model. The record is from RNAcentral.
GAUGAACGCUGGCGGCGUGCCUAAUACAUGCAAGUCGAGCGAACGGACGAGAAGCUUGCUUCUCUGAUGUUAGCGGCGGACGGGUGAGUAACACGUGGAUAACCUACCUAUAAGACUGGGAUAACUUCGGGAAACCGGAGCUAAUACCGGAUAAUAUUUUGAACCGCAUGGUUCAAAAGUGAAAGACGGUCUUGCUGUCACUUAUAGAUGGAUCCGCGCUGCAUUAGCUAGUUGGUAAGGUAACGGCUUACCAAGGCAACGAUGCAUAGCCGACCUGAGAGGGUGAUCGGCCACACUGGAACUGAGACACGGUCCAGACUCCUACGGGAGGCAGCAGUAGGGAAUCUUCCGCAAUGGGCGAAAGCCUGACGGAGCAACGCCGCGUGAGUGAUGUAGGUCUUCGGACCGUAAAACUCUGUUAUUAGGGAAGAACAUAUGUGUAAGUAACUGUGCACAUCUUGACGGUACCUAAUCAGAAAGCCACGGCUAACUACGUG